UAUUCCUUGGUUUUAGGAAAGGAGACUUUUUGAAGGAAAGCACCAUGGCCUGGACACUGGUUUUCCUUUCCCUUCUUACUUAUUUCUCAUGUGUCACUUCACAGCCCACCUUGACUCAGUCGGUCUCCCAGUCAGGAUCUCUAGGAGGGACAAUUAAAAUAUCCUGUGCCAUCAGCAGCAAUCCAAACUACAUUCACUGGUUUCAGCAGAGAUCUGGGGAAGCCCCUCGCUUUGUGCACUGUGAUACCUGCAGCAGCAGAGGAGAAGGGAUCCCAGACCGAUUCACGGGAACCCGAUCAGGCAACAACGGCUACUUAACCAUCACCAACCUUCAGGCUGAAGACGAGGCUGAUUAUUACUGUUGCAUGUGGUAUAGCAGUGGAAACGUGGUACAGUUCCACAGUGAUACAAUCUAA
Non-coding RNA from Pantherophis guttatus, 416 nucleotides. NCBI's taxonomy places the organism in Eukaryota, Metazoa, Chordata, Lepidosauria, Squamata, Colubridae. The record is from the annotation of a RefSeq genome assembly.